UGGUCUAUGCAGAGUCUCAUUUGUAGAAUACUGUUCCAUUACUGACUAUUUGACUUGGAUUUAUACCUGUAGAGCAGCCACCUGAAACCUCUCUGCCCAUUCAUUGCAUAGAGUUUAAACUAUUAUCUGUUUUCUCAAAACAGAAAAAAAGAAUCUUGAUGGAGAAAAACAGAGGUAAAAUUGAAUAAGAACAAGAUAAAAAAAAAAAAAGAAGUAAAAAAGAGCAACACUGGAACAGAGAGGUAGUGGGGGGUGAAGGUGGACAAAGAUGUUCCUCAUAUAGUAUUAGAGAGGAUUGUGAAUACCUGCAACCCCUAGGAGGGUGAAUGAAAAGUGAACUGAGGGAUCAGAUGCUGUAACCUUUCUGGCAUGGGAGGAAUGAAAUCUGUGGUGGACAAAAGCAAAAAGACCAGCAGUUAUCCUGCUCAUUUUGUCUGUAAAAUAUUAAUUGGAUUAUUUUAAUUGACAGAAAGAAAUGUGGUAUGGAAAAUAUCCAGCAUGUUAUAGUGUAAGGUCUAAGGCCCUAAAGCCAAGCUGUUGUUUCCACCCUUCCCUCCAUGUAUCUAGCACAGGUGCUUUGAUUUGGGCCACCUGGACAGGAAAAUUAACAGAUGGGCUAAUUUAAAUAGACCCUCUAAAGCCUUUGUAGGAGGCUUGUUAGUCAGAAAGAAGGUUUUUGUAUUUGUCUGUUUUAAAACAAUCAAGCAGCCCCAAAAAAGAAGUUUUAAGUUGCUGGGAAGUAUUCAAUAAGUGCACUGGAUUUAUGAUGAAAUUUCAAGUGAAGAAUUUGAAUGCCAUGCUUGUUGCAGUACUACCUGCAUCCAAGCUUUACACGCGACUGUGACAUCAUGUGAUGUGGAAUAUCCCUUCGGUCAGCUGGAGUCAGCUGUCCCAGCUGUGCCCUCUCCCAGCUUCUUGUGUAUCCACAGCCCCUGGUUGUGUGGUGUGAGGAGCAGAAAAGGCCUUGGCUCUGCAUGAGCACUGCUCAGCAGUAACUAAAACAUCCCUCUAUUAUCAGCCCUGUUUCCAGCAUAAAUGCAAAACAUAGCCCCACUCCAGCUACUAUGAAGAAAAUUAAAUCUAUCCCAGACAAUGCCAGCACAGGUUUAGUUUCAGUGGAAUGUAAAGUCAGACACGAGGAGUUCCUUAUUUCCUUCAAAACUAUCUCAAUUAAAGCAACUUUUAACAUAAGAAAUACAUACUUUAGAAGCUGAUGUAGGUCGUUCAAACAUUUCAAGUGAUCCCUGAAACAUACAGGUACAUUAGUUGUGUGACUGAAUUUGAAGAUUGUAUUUUUUUUUUGUCUUUUAAAAUCUUCUGGUGUAGAGCUCCAAAUUUAUUGUUAAACCAUUUAAUUGAGAGGUCCUUUCAACCUUGUCAAAUUUAUGUUGCAUGUUUUGGGGACAAUAUUGUUUUCAUAAUUCUUUAAAAUAUUAUUUCUUGAUCUGUUGGACUUCCUGAUAUGAAGCACUUCCUGCAUGAAGCUGAGAUAAUACAUGGGUUUAGACCUAUACAAAGGCCUGAAACUCUAGUUCUUCAUUAUUUGCCUAAUAGUCCAUGUUAUUUCUUUUCUACUAAUGAGUAAACACUGGGCAAAUGAAAUGAAUGGGUUUUUCUUUCCCUCUCUCUGUUCUUUGGAUAUUGAAGAGGCAUGUUGUAUGGCUACAACAUAAAUUUUCAUGUCAUCACAUAAUUUCCAGUAUUGUGCUCAACCAUGAGAAACUAAAAUCAGCUUCAAAACCAGUUGUUGAUUCUGUAAGACAGGUGCUCACAUCAUCACAAUACACAUGCCAAAAAAGGCCCAGUAUGAUUGCACAAGCACCGAGCUAGUUCUAAAUAAAUCUGCUCCCUAGAAGUAUUCUCUGACUGUAACAUUUUCCAGUGGAUUUUUAUUUUCAGUCAUGUCAACCAUAGACCGUCUUAUGUAGAAAAUACAGAGUUCUGAUAUUACACUAUGUAAUGAUACAGUUCUAGUUUUUGUUGAAUAUGUUUUUGUGACUUACAUAGGUCAAGAUCAUUGAAAAGCUGAAUAGAAAUGAUGUUAUCCUUUCCUUUCACCUUUUAAGAGCUUUUCUGGACCCGUAUUCAAUGCCUUGAUUUUGUUAGAAAUAGUGAUGAACACACUCCUAAAGCCAAGCCAAAAGAGAACCGAAAGCACCCCAAAUGCAAAAUAAAAACUUCAGUUGUUCGGCUUAUUGAAACAUAAUUCUGUGCCUGUAAAAUGAAAGACAAGAAAGAUAACAAUUAAAUCAUCCAUUAUGAAUCUGAGGAAAAAAUCUUAGAAUGUCAAUAUGACUAAUGAAAGCACUAGUUUAAAAAGAUCACAGCCUCAUUUAGACUACUCAGUUUACACUCUACUUCUUGUUUCCUAUGCAGGUAUUACAAAAGUCCUUUAAGAAAAGCAUCCUCACUGUAUUUCUAAUUUCUGUGUCGUAUCUCCCAUAUAUUAGUAUGAAAUAUAUACAGUAUUUCUAUGUAGCUACCUAUUUGUAUUUGUAACUUUUAGAGUCUGAUUUUUCUGUCACACUGUGCCUAUAUAAUUUACAACAAUUCUGCAUCAAACAGCAACCCAAUUAUUAAAUAAAAGCAUUUCUUCACUA
This is a long non-coding RNA of Columba livia (rock pigeon), 2600 nucleotides long. RefSeq lists it as uncharacterized. NCBI's taxonomy places the organism in Eukaryota, Metazoa, Chordata, Aves, Columbiformes, Columbidae. The transcript is spliced from 3 exons. The record is from RefSeq and is a predicted model, not a curated record.